GAGUUUGAUCAUGGCUCAGGACGAACGCUGGCGGCGUGCUUAACACAUGCAAGUCGCACGGUGAUGGCCAGCUUGCUGGUCUGAUCAGUGGCGAACGGGUGAGUAACACGUGAGCAACCUACCCCAGACUCUGGAAUAACCAUGGGAAACGAUGGCUAAUACCGGAUACGAGACGCACACGCAUGUGUGGUGUCUGGAAAGAUUUAUCGGUCUGGGAUGGGCUCGCGGCCUAUCAGCUUGUUGGUGGGGUAGUGGCCUACCAAGGCGACGACGGGUAGCCGGCCUGAGAGGGCGACCGGCCACACUGGGACUGAGAUACGGCCCAGACUCCUACGGGAGGCAGCAGUGGGGAAUAUUGCACAAUGGGCGCAAGCCUGAUGCAGCGACGCCGCGUGAGGGAUGACGGCCUUCGGGUUGUAAACCUCUUUCAGCAGGGAAGAAGCGAAAGUGACGGUACCUGCAGAAGAAGCGCCGGCUAACUACGUGCCAGCAGCCGCGGUAAUACGUAGGGCGCAAGCGUUGUCCGGAAUUAUUGGGCGUAAAGAGCUCGUAGGCGGUUUGUCGCGUCUGCUGUGAAAACCUAAGGCUCAACCUUGGGCUUGCAGUGGGUACGGGCAGACUAGAGUGCGGUAGGGGUGACUGGAAUUCCUGGUGUAGCGGUGGAAUGCGCAGAUAUCAGGAGGAACACCGAUGGCGAAGGCAGGUCACUGGGCCGCAACUGACGCUGAGGAGCGAAAGCAUGGGGAGCGAACAGGAUUAGAUACCCUGGUAGUCCAUGCCGUAAACGUUGGGCACUAGGUGUGGGGCUCAUUCCACGAGUUCCGUGCCGCAGCAAACGCAUUAAGUGCCCCGCCUGGGGAGUACGGCCGCAAGGCUAAAACUCAAAGAAAUUGACGGGGGCCCGCACAAGCGGCGGAGCAUGCGGAUUAAUUCGAUGCAACGCGAAGAACCUUACCAAGGCUUGACAUACACCGGAAACUUCCAGAGAUGGUUGCCCCG
This 999-nucleotide ribosomal RNA is filed under the name agricultural soil bacterium SI-14. Its description in RNAcentral is "bacterial SSU rRNA". It matches the Rfam family "Bacterial small subunit ribosomal RNA", at positions 9 to 1017 of the family's 1533-position model. The record is from RNAcentral.